Paramuricea clavata is the source of this 268-nucleotide non-coding RNA. Lineage: Eukaryota; Metazoa; Cnidaria; Anthozoa; Malacalcyonacea; Plexauridae. The record is from the annotation of a GenBank genome assembly.
CCCUUCUCAUGUCCUAAUACAUUUACUAUUAUCAUAAACAAUAUUUUCUCCCCUCCCUCCGGACGGCAGAAAUUUCCUCUGUGGGGGGACUACAGGUUUUUUCUGGAACGACCCAUUGUAACUCGGAUAAUUAUGCGGUCAAAAAAUAAAAAUCUCAUGCAAACAAUAUUCGAAGUGUCUAUUUAGUAAACUGUCACUUGUGAAUCCAUACCCAUUUUCAAAACUUUAUUGUAAUCAUAUGAAGCAGAAGUUCUGUCACUUGUUGUUU